This 637-nucleotide ribosomal RNA is filed under the name uncultured Comamonadaceae bacterium. RNAcentral's name for it is "bacterial SSU rRNA". It matches the Rfam family "Bacterial small subunit ribosomal RNA", at positions 897 to 1533 of the family's 1533-position model. Lineage: Bacteria; Pseudomonadati; Pseudomonadota; Betaproteobacteria; Burkholderiales; Comamonadaceae. The record is from RNAcentral.
AAACUUAAAGGAAUUGACGGGGACCCGCACAAGCGGUGGAUGAUGUGGUUUAAUUCGAUGCAACGCGAAAACCUUACCCACCUUUGACAUGUACGGAAUCCUUUAGAGAUAGAGGAGUGCUCGAAAGAGAGCCGUAACACAGGUGCUGCAUGGCUGUCGUCAGCUCGUGUCGUGAGAUGUUGGGUUAAGUCCCGCAACGAGCGCAACCCUUGUCAUUAGUUGCUACAUUUAGUUGGGCACUCUAAUGAGACUGCCGGUGACAAACCGGAGGAAGGUGGGGAUGACGUCAAGUCCUCAUGGCCCUUAUAGGUGGGGCUACACACGUCAUACAAUGGCUGGUACAAAGGGUUGCCAACCCGCGAGGGGAGCUAAUCCCACAAAGCCAGUCGUAGUCCGGAUCGUAGUCUGCAACUCGACUACGUGAAGUCGGAAUCGCUAGUAAUCGUGGAUCAGAAUGUCACGGUGAAUACGUUCCCGGGUCUUGUACACACCGCCCGUCACACCAUGGGAGCGGGUUCUGCCAGAAGUAGUUAGCCUAACCGCAAGGAGGGCGAUUACCACGGCAGGGUUCGUGACUGGGGUGAAGUCGUAACAAGGUAGCCGUAUCGGAAGGUGCGGCUGGAUCACCUCCUUUAUG